Molecule: unclassified non-coding RNA, 356 nt
Filed under: soil metagenome
Description: partial contains 5.8S ribosomal RNA, internal transcribed spacer 2, and large subunit ribosomal RNA
Rfam family: 5.8S ribosomal RNA (bases 2-121)
Source: RNAcentral
UGAUGAAGAACGCAGUGAAAUGCGAUAAGUAAUGUGAAUUGCAGAAUUCAGUGAAUCAUCGAAUCUUUGAACGCACAUUGCGCCCGCCAGCAUUCUGGCGGGCAUGCCUGUUCGAGCGUCAUUUCAACCCCUCAGGCCCUGGUGCCUGGCGUCGGGGCUCUCCCUCACGGGAGGCCCCCAGAGACAGUGGCGGACCCGCCGCGGCUCCGAGCGCAGUAGUAAAAUAUCUCGCUUAGGAGGCCCGCGGAGGAGCUUUCCGGCCGUAAAACCAGGUCUGCAAAGACCGACCCCACCAAGGUUGACCUCGGAUCAGGUAGGAAUACCCGCUGAACUUAAGCAUAUCAAUAAGCGGAGGA